ACGUAGGGGGCGAGCGUUGUUCGGAAUUACUGGGCGUAAAGGGCAUGUAGGCGGCUCUGUAAGCCUGGCGUGAAAGUCACCGGCUCAACCGGUGGAUUGCGCUGGAUACUGCGGGGCUUGAAUCAUGGAGAGGGAGCUAGAAUUCCAGGUGUAGGGGUGAAAUCUGUAGAUAUCUGGAAGAAUACCGGUGGCGAAGGCGACCUACUGGCUAAUAAUUGACGCUGAGGCGCGAAAGUGUGGGGAUCAAACAG
This 251-nucleotide ribosomal RNA is filed under the name uncultured prokaryote. RNAcentral's name for it is "partial 16S rRNA". It matches the Rfam family "Bacterial small subunit ribosomal RNA", at positions 525 to 775 of the family's 1533-position model. The record is from RNAcentral.